RNAcentral lists this ribosomal RNA (497 nucleotides) under uncultured bacterium. Its description in RNAcentral is "partial 16S ribosomal RNA". It matches the Rfam family "Bacterial small subunit ribosomal RNA", at positions 28 to 507 of the family's 1533-position model. The record is from RNAcentral.
GAUGAACGCUGGCGGCGUGCCUAAUACAUGCCAGUCGAGCGAACAGACGAGGAGCUUGCUCCUCUGACGUUAGCGGCGGACGGGUGAGUAACACGUGGAUAACCUACCUAUAAGACUGGGAUAACUUCGGGAAACCGGAGCUAAUACCGGAUAAUAUAUUGAACCGCAUGGUUCAAUAGUGAAAGACGGUUUUGCUGUCACUUAUAGAUGGAUCCGCGCCGCAUUAGCUAGUUGGUAAGGUAACGGCUUACCAAGGCAACGAUGCGUAGCCGACCUGAGAGGGUGAUCGGCCACACUGGAACUGAGACACGGUCCAGACUCCUACGGGAGGCAGCAGUAGGGAAUCUUCCGCAAUGGGCGAAAGCCUGACGGAGCAACGCCGCGUGAGUGAUGAAGGUCUUCGGAUCGUAAAACUCUGUUAUUAGGGAAGAACAAAUGUGUAAGUAACUAUGCACGUCUUGACGGUACCUAAUCAGAAAGCCACGGCUAACUACGUA